AGACCCGAAACCCGGUGAUCUAGCCAUGGGCAGGUUGAAGGUUGGGUAACACUAACUGGAGGACCGAACCGACUAAUGUUGAAAAAUUAGCGGAUGACCUGUGGCUGGGGGUGAAAGGCCAAUCAAACCGGGAGAUAGCUGGUUCUCCCCGAAAGCUAUUUAGGUAGCGCCUCGUGAAUUCAUCUCCGGGGGUAGAGCACUGUUUCGGCUAGGGGGCCAUCCCGGCUUACCAACCCGAUGCAAACUGCGAAUACCGGAGAAUGUUAUCACGGGAGACACACGGCGGGUGCUAACGUCCGUCGUGAAGAGGGAAACAACCCAGACCGCCAGCUAAGGUCCCAAAGUCAUGGUUAAGUGGGAAACGAUGUGGGAAGGCCCAGACAGCCAGGAUGUUGGCUUAGAAGCAGCCAUCAUUUAAAGAAAGCGUAAUAGCUCACUGGUCGAGUCGGCCUGCGCGGAAGAUGUAACGGGGCUAAACCAUGCACCGAAGCUGCGGCAGCGACGCUUAUGCGUUGUUGGGUAGGGGAGCGUUCUGUAAGCCUGUGAAGGUGGCCUGUGAGGGUUGCUGGAGGUAUCAGAAGUGCGAAUGCUGACAUAAGUAACGAUAAAGCGGGUGAAAAGCCCGCUCGCCGGAAGACCAAGGGUUCCUGUCCAACGUUAAUCGGGGCAGGGUGAGUCGACCCCUAAGGCGAGGCCGAAAGGCGUAGUCGAUGGGAAACGGGUUAAUAUUCCCGUACUUGGUGUUACUGCGAAGGGGGGACGGAGAAGGCUAUGUUGGCCGGGCGACGGUUGUCCCGGUUUAAGCGUGUAGGUGUGUGUUCCAGGUAAAUCCGGUUCACUUUAACACUGAGGCGUGACGACGAGGCACUACGGUGCUGAAGCAACAAAUGCCCUGCUUCCAGGAAAAGCCUCUAAGCAUCAGGUAACAUCAAAUCGUACCCCAAACCGACACAGGUGGUCAGGUAGAGAAUACCAAGGCGCUUGAGAGAACUCGGGUGAAGGAACUAGGCAAAAUGGUGCCGUAACUUCGGGAGAAGGCACGCUGACACGUAGGUGAAGUGAUUUACUCAUGGAGCUGAAGUCAGUCGAAGAUACCAGCUGGCUGCAACUGUUUAUUAAAAACACAGCACUGUGCAAACACGAAAGUGGACGUAUACGGUGUGACGCCUGCCCGGUGCCGGAAGGUUAAUUGAUGGGGUCAGCGCAAGCGAAGCUCCUGAUCGAAGCCCCGGUAAACGGCGGCCGUAACUAUAACGGUCCUAAGGUAGCGAAAUUCCUUGUCGGGUAAGUUCCGACCUGCACGAAUGGCGUAAUGAUGGCCAGGCUGUCUCCACCCGAGACUCAGUGAAAUUGAACUCGCUGUGAAGAUGCAGUGUACCCGCGGCAAGACGGAAAGACCCCGUGAACCUUUACUAUAGCUUGACACUGAACAUUGAGCCUUGAUGUGUAGGAUAGGUGGGAGGCUUUGAAGUGUGGACGCCAGUCUGCAUGGAGCCGACCUUGAAAUACCACCCUUUAAUGUUUGAUGUUCUAACGUGGACCCGUAAUCCGGGUUGCGGACAGUGUCUGGUGGGUAGUUUGACUGGGGCGGUCUCCUCCUAAAGAGUAACGGAGGAGCACGAAGGUUGGCUAAUCCUGGUCGGACAUCAGGAGGUUAGUGCAAUGGCAUAAGCCAGCUUGACUGCGAGCGUGACGGCGCGAGCAGGUGCGAAAGCAGGUCAUAGUGAUCCGGUGGUUCUGAAUGGAAGGGCCAUCGCUCAACGGAUAAAAGGUACUCCGGGGAUAACAGGCUGAUACCGCCCAAGAGUUCAUAUCGACGGCGGUGUUUGGCACCUCGAUGUCGGCUCAUCACAUCCUGGGGCUGAAGUAGGUCCCAAGGGUAUGGCUGUUCGCCAUUUAAAGUGGUACGCGAGCUGGGUUUAGAACGUCGUGAGACAGUUCGGUCCCUAUCUGCCGUGGGCGCUGGAGAACUGAGGGGGGCUGCUCCUAGUACGAGAGGACCGGAGUGGACGCAUCACUGGUGUUCGGGUUGUCAUGCCAAUGGCACUGCCCGGUAGCUAAAUGCGGAAGAGAUAAGUGCUGAAAGCAUCUAAGCACGAAACUUGCCCCGAGAUGAGUUCUCCCUGAGACUUUAGGUCUCCUGAAGGAACGUUGAAGACGACGACGUUGAUAGGCCGGGUGUGUAAGCGCAGCGAUGCGUUGAGCUAACCGGUACUAAUGAACCGUGAGGCUUAACCUUACAACGCCGAAG
Molecule: ribosomal RNA, 2251 nt
Filed under: Salmonella enterica subsp. enterica serovar Weltevreden
Lineage: Bacteria; Pseudomonadati; Pseudomonadota; Gammaproteobacteria; Enterobacterales; Enterobacteriaceae
Description: partial 23S ribosomal RNA
Rfam family: Bacterial large subunit ribosomal RNA
Source: RNAcentral